Molecule: non-coding RNA, 75 nt
Filed under: Aeromonas hydrophila
Lineage: Bacteria; Pseudomonadati; Pseudomonadota; Gammaproteobacteria; Aeromonadales; Aeromonadaceae
Also listed under: 5 other names
Source: RNAcentral
AAGCGAAACCAUCCCGAGCGACUGCUCGGGAUGGUCUGCCCGGCGUGGUGGCCGGGCACUGAUGAGCAGCCGACC